GGAACGCCGGAUCCAAGCACGGGUGUAAGAUUUCCCUUUUCAAAGGUGGAGAAUAAGAAAUGAGCCCGAGUGUGUAACGGCGUCCAUAGUGGGGUGGACGAGACAGAGGGGAUGGGGCAAGGAGCGCGGGUGGGGCUCUCACCGCGACUUGAAUGUGGAUGAGAGUGGGACGGUGACGGCGGGCGCGAAGGCGACGGCAUCGCUUCUCGGCCUUUUGGCUAAGAUCAAGUGUAGUAUCUGUUCUUAUCAGUUUAAUAUCUGAUACGUCCUCUAUCCGAGGACAAUAUAUUAAAUGGAUUUUUGGAGCAGGGAGAUGGAAUAGGAGCUUGCUCCGUCCACUCCACGCAUCGACCUGGUAUUGCAGUACCUCCAGGAACGGUGCACCACCUCCGGGGAUACAACGCGUUUGCUAAAAGUAGAAGGGGAGAGAGAGAGAGAGAGCAUGGGCGGGGCGGCUUGCAAACCAAGCGUCUGUGAUACGCCGUCUUGCCGGCUCAACUGCUCGUUGGAGUACCGUGGGGUUUCUGACCUGCGGGCAGCAAACGGUAACGAACAGCUUUGGAAGACCGGGGCAGGAGUAUCACUUGAGGCCAAGAGUUCCAGGCAAAACUAGGCAACAUAGGAAGACCGUGUCUCCAUAAGAAUUAAAAAAACGGGUCGAAGCAGUGGCUCAUGACCGUAAUCCCAGCACUUUGGGAGGCCCAGGCAGGAGGUCAGGAGUUAGAGACCAGCCUGGCCAACAUGGUGAAACCACAUCUCUACUAUAAAUAGAAAAAAUUAGCCAUGCAUGGUGGCACGUGCCUGUAAUCCCAGCUACUCGGGAGGCUGAGACAGCAGAAUUGUUUGAACCCGGGAGGCAGAGGUUGCAGUGAGCCGAGAUCACACCACUACAUGCCAGCCUACGUGACACAGCAAGACUCUGUCUCACAAAAAAAUAAAUAAAUAGAACACUUGGUUCGGGAACAGUGGCUCAGGACUGUAAUCCCAGCAUGUUGGCAGGCCGAGGCAGGUGGAUCACUUGAGGUCAGGAGUUCAAGACCAGCCUAACCAACAAGAUGAAAGCCAACCUGUACUAAAAAUACAUGAAUUAACUGGGUCUGGUGACCCGCACCUAUAAUCCUAGCUACUCGAGAGGUUGUGGCAAGAGAAUCGCUUGAAACUGGGAGGCGGAGGUUGAAAUGAGCCCAGAUCGCCCCAUUGUACUUCAGACUGGGCAACAAGAGUGAAAUUCCGUCUCAAAAAAAAAAAAAGGCUCACGCCUGUAAUCCCAGCACUUUGGGAGGCCGAGGCGGGCGGAUCACAAGGUCCGGAGAUCGAGAUCAUCCUGGCUAACACAGUGAAACACCGUCUCUACUAAAAAUAAAAAAAAUUAGCUGGGCGUGGUGGCGGGCGCCUGUUGUGCCAGCUACU
RNAcentral lists this long non-coding RNA (1410 nucleotides) under Macaca fascicularis (crab-eating macaque). RNAcentral describes it as "lncRNA (ENSMFAG00000064191.1)". The stretch from base 199 to 389 matches the Rfam family "U2 spliceosomal RNA". Lineage: Eukaryota; Metazoa; Chordata; Mammalia; Primates; Cercopithecidae. The record is from RNAcentral.